GACGAACGCUGGCGGCGUGCUUAACACAUGCAAGUCGAACGGAAAGGCACUGCUUUUGUGGGGUGCUCGAGUGGCGAACGGGUGAGUAACACGUGAGUAACCUGCCCUUGACUUUGGGAUAACUUCGGGAAACUGGGGCUAAUACCGGAUAGGAGCGCCUGCUGCAUGGUGGGGUGUGGAAAGGUUCGGCGGGUGGGGGUGGACUCGCGGGUUUUCAAGUUGUUGGGGGGGUAGUGGCUUACCAAGGCUGUGGCGGGGAGCCGGCCUGAGAGGGUGACCGGCCACAUUGGGACUGAGGUACGGGCCAGACUCCUACGGGAGGCAGGAGUGGGGGAUAAUGCACAAUGGGCGGAAGCCUGAUGCAGCAAAGCCGCGUGCGGGAUGACGGCCUUCCGGUUGUAAAACGCUUUCGCCUGUGAAGAAGGGUGAGUGACGGUAAUGGGUAAAGAAGCACCGGCUAACUACGUG
Molecule: ribosomal RNA, 468 nt
Filed under: uncultured bacterium
Lineage: Bacteria
Description: partial 16S ribosomal RNA
Rfam family: Bacterial small subunit ribosomal RNA
Source: RNAcentral